This 396-nucleotide ribosomal RNA is filed under the name uncultured bacterium. Its description in RNAcentral is "partial 16S ribosomal RNA". It matches the Rfam family "Bacterial small subunit ribosomal RNA", at positions 523 to 918 of the family's 1533-position model. The record is from RNAcentral.
CUACGGAGGGUCCGAGCGUUAAUCGGAAUUACUGGGCGUAAAGCGCGCGUAGGUGGUUCAGUCAGUCAGAUGUGAAAGCCCCAGGCUCAACCUGGGAACUGCACCUGAUACUGCUGAGCUAGAGUACGGUAGAGGGCAGUGGAAUUUCCGGUGUAGCGGUGAAAUGCGUAGAGAUCGGAAGGAACACCAGUGGCGAAGGCGACGGCCUGGACUGAUGCUGACACUGAGGUGCGAAAGGGUGGGUAGCAAACAGGAUUAGAUACCCUGGUAGUCCACGCCGUAAACGAUGUCAACUAGCCGUUGGGGGACUUGAUCCUUUAGUGGCGAAGCUAACGCGAUAAGUUGACCGCCUGGGGAGUACGGCCGCAAGGUUAAAACUCAAAUGAAUUGACGGGG